Molecule: ribosomal RNA, 497 nt
Filed under: uncultured bacterium
Lineage: Bacteria
Description: partial 16S ribosomal RNA
Rfam family: Bacterial small subunit ribosomal RNA
Source: RNAcentral
GAUGAACGCUGGCGGCGUGCCUAAUACAUGCAAGUCGAGCGAACGGACGAGAAGCUUGCUUCUCUGAUGUUAGCGGCGGACGGGUGAGUAACACGUGGAUAACCUACCUAUAAGACUGGGAUAACUUCGGGAAACCGGAGCUAAUACCGGAUAAUAUUUUGAACCGCAUGGUUCAAAAGUGAAAGGCGGUCUUGCUGUCACUUAUAGAUGGAUCCGCGCUGCAUUAGCUAGUUGGUAAGGUAACGGCUUACCAAGGCAACGAUGCAUAGCCGACCUGGGAGGGUGAUCGGCCACACUGGAACUGAGACACGGUCCAGACUCCUACGGGAGGCAGCAGUAGGGAAUCUUCCGCAAUGGGCGAAAGCCUGACGGAGCAACGCCGCGUGAGUGAUGAAGGUCUUCGGAUCGUAAAACUCUGUUAUUAGGGAAGAACAUAUGUGUAAGUAACUGUGCACAUCUUGACGGUACCUAAUCAGAAAGCCACGGCUAACUACGUG